GACGAACGCUGGCGGCGUGCCUAAUACAUGCAAGUCGAACGCUGAAGGAGGAGCUUGCUUCUCUGGAUGAGUUGCGAACGGGUGAGUAACGCGUAGGUAACCUGCCUGGUAGCGGGGGAUAACUAUUGGAAACGAUAGCUAAUACCGCAUAAGAGUAGAUGUUGCAUGACAUUUGCUUAAAAGGUGCAAUUGCAUCACUACCAGAUGGACCUGCUUUGUAUUAGCUAGUUGGUGGGGUAUCGGCUCACCAAGGCGAGGAUACAUAGCCAACAGGAGAGGGGGAGCGGCCACACUGGGACUGUGACCCGGCCCAGUCUGCUACGGGAGGCAGCAGGAGUGAAUCUUCGGCAAUGGACGGAAGUCUGACCGAGAAACGCCGCGUCAGUGAAGAAGAUUGUCGGAUCGUAAAGCUCGGUUGUCAGAGAAGAACGAGCGUGAGCGUGGAAAGUUCACACUGUGACGGUAUCUUACCAGAAAGGACCGGCUAACUACGUG
This 495-nucleotide ribosomal RNA is filed under the name uncultured bacterium. RNAcentral's name for it is "partial 16S ribosomal RNA". It matches the Rfam family "Bacterial small subunit ribosomal RNA", at positions 28 to 507 of the family's 1533-position model. The record is from RNAcentral.